UACGAGGGGGGCGAGCGUUGUUCGGAAUUAUUGGGCGUAAAGGGUGCGUAGGCGGUUUGGUAAGUCUUAUGUGAAAUCUACAGGCUCAACUUGUAGUCUGCAUGAGAAACUGCCGGGCUUGAGUAUGGGAGAGGUGAGUGGAAUUCCUGGUGUAGCGGUGAAAUGCGUAGAUAUCAGGAGGAACACCUGUGGCGAAAGCGGCUCUCUGGGACGGUACUGACGCUGAGACGCGAAAGCGUGGGGAGCGAACAGG
Molecule: ribosomal RNA, 253 nt
Filed under: uncultured bacterium
Lineage: Bacteria
Description: partial 16S ribosomal RNA
Rfam family: Bacterial small subunit ribosomal RNA
Source: RNAcentral